This 252-nucleotide ribosomal RNA is filed under the name uncultured bacterium. Its description in RNAcentral is "partial 16S ribosomal RNA". It matches the Rfam family "Bacterial small subunit ribosomal RNA", at positions 29 to 306 of the family's 1533-position model. The record is from RNAcentral.
AACGAACGCUGGCGGCAGGCUUAACACAUGCAAGUCGAACGGGUGUAGCAAUACAUCAGUGGCAGACGGGUGAGUAACACGUGGGAACCUUCCUAGGGGUACGGAACAACUCAGGGAAACUUGAGCUAAUACCGUAUACGUCCGUAAGGAGAAAGAUUCAUCGCCCCUAGACGGGCCCGCGUCGGAUUAGGUAGUUGGUGGGGUAACGGCCUACCAAGCCUACGAUCCGUAGCUGAUCUGAGAGGANGAUCA